This 301-nucleotide ribosomal RNA is filed under the name uncultured bacterium. RNAcentral describes it as "partial 16S ribosomal RNA". It matches the Rfam family "Bacterial small subunit ribosomal RNA", at positions 509 to 807 of the family's 1533-position model. The record is from RNAcentral.
CAGUAGCCGCGGUAAUACGUAGGUGGCAAGCGUUGUCCGGAAUUAUUGGGCGUAAAGGGCUCGCAGGCGGUUUCCUAAGUCUGAUGUGAAAGCCCCCGGCUCAACCGGGGAGGGUCAUUGGAAACUGGGAAACUUGAGUGCAGAAGAGGAGAGUGGAAUUCCACGUGUAGCGGUGAAACGCGUAGAGAUGUGGAGGAACACCAGUGGCGAAGGCGACUCUCUGGUCUGUAACUGACGCUGAGGAGCGAAAGCGUGGGGAGCGAACAGGAUUAGAUACCCCCGUAGUCCCUGUCUCUUAUAC